AUCCUGGCUCAGGACGAACGCUGGCGGCGUGCUUAACACAUGCAAGUCGAACGAUGAUGCCCAGCUUGCUGGGCGGAUUAGUGGCGAACGGGUGAGUAAUACGUGAGUAACCUGCCCUUGACUCUGGGAUAAGCCUGGGAAACUGGGUCUAAUACUGGAUACUACCUCUUACCGCAUGGUGGGUGGUGGAAAGGGUUUUACUGGUUUUGGAUGGGCUCACGGCCUAUCAGCUUGUUGGUGGGGUAAUGGCUCACCAAGCCGACGACGGGUAGCCGGCCUGAGAGGGUGACCGGCCACACUGGGACUGAGACACGGCCCAGACUCCUACGGGAGGCAGCAGUGGGGAAUAUUGCACAAUGGGCGGAAGCCUGAUGCAGCGACGCCGCGUGAGGGAUGACGGCCUUCGGGUUGUAAACCUCUUUCAGUAGGGAAGAAGCGAGAGUGACGGUACCUGCAGAAGAAGCGCCGGCUAACUACGUGCCAGCAGCCGCGGUAAUACGUAGGGCGCAAGCGUUGUCCGGAAUUAUUGGGCGUAAAGAGCUCGUAGGCGGUUUGUCGCGUCUGCUGUGAAAGCCCGGGGCUUAACCCCGGGUCUGCAGUGGGUACGGGCAGACUAGAGUGCAGUAGGGGAGACUGGAAUUCCUGGUGUAGCGGUGAAAUGCGCAGAUAUCAGGAGGAACACCGAUGGCGAAGGCAGGUCUCUGGGCUGUUACUGACGCUGAGGAGCGAAAGCAUGGGGAGCGAACAGGAUUAGAUACCCUGGUAGUCCAUGCCGUAAACGUUGGGCACUAGGUGUGGGGGACAUUCCACGUUUUCCGCGCCGUAGCUAACGCAUUAAGUGCCCCGCCUGGGGAGUACGGCCGCAAGGCUAAAACUCAAAGGAAUUGACGGGGGCCCGCACAAGCGGCGGAGCAUGCGGAUUAAUUCGAUGCAACGCGAAGAACCUUACCAAGGCUUGACAUUCACCGGACCGCCCCAGAGAUGGGGUUUCCCUUCGGGGCUGGUGGACAGGUGGUGCAUGGUUGUCGUCAGCUCGUGUCGUGAGAUGUUGGGUUAAGUCCCGCAACGAGCGCAACCCUCGUUCUAUGUUGCCAGCACGUGAUGGUGGGGACUCAUAGGAGACUGCCGGGGUCAACUCGGAGGAAGGUGGGGAUGACGUCAAAUCAUCAUGCCCCUUAUGUCUUGGGCUUCACGCAUGCUACAAUGGCCGGUACAAAGGGUUGCGAUACUGUGAGGUGGAGCUAAUCCCAAAAAGCCGGUCUCAGUUCGGAUUGAGGUCUGCAACUCGACCUCAUGAAGUCGGAGUCGCUAGUAAUCGCAGAUCAGCAACGCUGCGGUGAAUACGUUCCCGGGCCUUGUACACACCGCCCGUCAAGUCACGAAAGUUGGUAACACCCGAAGCCGGUGGCCUAACCCCUUGUGGGAGGGAGCCGUCGAAGGUGGGACUGGCGAUUGGGACUAAGUCGUAACAAGGUAGCCGU
RNAcentral lists this ribosomal RNA (1481 nucleotides) under Kocuria rosea. RNAcentral describes it as "16S ribosomal RNA". It matches the Rfam family "Bacterial small subunit ribosomal RNA". RNAcentral also lists the same sequence under 3 other names. The record is from RNAcentral. Lineage: Bacteria; Bacillati; Actinomycetota; Actinomycetes; Micrococcales; Micrococcaceae.